UACGAACGCUGGCGGCGUGCCUAAUACAUGCAAGUAGAACGCUGAAGAGAGGAGCUUGCUCUUCUUGGAUGAGUUGCGAACGGGUGAGUAACGCGUAGGUAACCUGCCUUGUAGCGGGGGAUAACUAUUGGAAACGAUAGCUAAUACCGCAUAACAAUGGAUGACACAUGUCAUUUAUUUGAAAGGGGCAAAUGCUCCACUACAAGAUGGACCUGCGUUGUAUUAGCUAGUAGGUGAGGUAACGGCUCACCUAGGCGACGAUACAUAGCCGACCUGAGAGGGUGAUCGGCCACACUGGGACUGAGACACGGCCCAGACUCCUACGGGAGGCAGCAGUAGGGAAUCUUCGGCAAUGGGGGCAACCCUGACCGAGCAACGCCGCGUGAGUGAAGAAGGUUUUCGGAUCGUAAAGCUCUGUUGUAAGUCAAGAACGAGUGUGAGAGUGGAAAGUUCACACUGUGACGGUAGCUUACCAGAAAGGGACGGCUAACUACGUGCCAGCAGCCGCGGUAAUACGUAGGUCCCGAGCGUUGUCCGGAUUUAUUGGGCGUAAAGCGAGCGCAGGCGGUUUGAUAAGUCUGAAGUUAAAGGCUGUGGCUCAACCAUAGUUCGCUUUGGAAACUGUCAAACUUGAGUGCAGAAGGGGAGAGUGGAAUUCCAUGUGUAGCGGUGAAAUGCGUAGAUAUAUGGAGGAACACCGGUGGCGAAAGCGGCUCUCUGGUCUGUAACUGACGCUGAGGCUCGAAAGCGUGGGGAGCGAACAGGAUUAGAUACCCUGGUAGUCCACGCCGUAAACGAUGAGUGCUAGGUGUUGGAUCCUUUCCGGGAUUCAGUGCCGCAGCUAACGCAUUAAGCACUCCGCCUGGGGAGUACGACCGCAAGGUUGAAACUCAAAGGAAUUGACGGGGGCCCGCACAAGCGGUGGAGCAUGUGGUUUAAUUCGAAGCAACGCGAAGAACCUUACCAGGUCUUGACAUCCCGAUGCUAUUUCUAGAGAUAGAAAGUUACUUCGGUACAUCGGUGACAGGUGGUGCAUGGUUGUCGUCAGCUCGUGUCGUGAGAUGUUGGGUUAAGUCCCGCAACGAGCGCAACCCCUAUUGUUAGUUGCCAUCAUUCAGUUGGGCACUCUAGCGAGACUGCGGGUAAUAAACCGGAGGAAGGUGGGGAUGACGUCAAAUCAUCAUGCCCCUUAUGACCUGGGCUACACACGUGCUACAAUGGUUGGUACAACGAGUUGCGAGUCGGUGACGGCAAGCUAAUCUCUUAAAGCCAAUCUCAGUUCGGAUUGUAGGCUGCAACUCGCCUACAUGAAGUCGGAAUCGCUAGUAAUCGCGGAUCAGCACGCCGCGGUGAAUACGUUCCCGGGCCUUGUACACACCGCCCGUCACACCACGAGAGUUUGUAACACCCGAAGUCGGUGAGGUAACCUUUUGGAGCCAGCCGCCUAAGGUGGGAU
RNAcentral lists this ribosomal RNA (1456 nucleotides) under uncultured organism. RNAcentral describes it as "SSU rRNA". It matches the Rfam family "Bacterial small subunit ribosomal RNA". The record is from RNAcentral.